Molecule: long non-coding RNA, 690 nt
Organism: Capsicum annuum
Lineage: Eukaryota; Viridiplantae; Streptophyta; Magnoliopsida; Solanales; Solanaceae
Exons: 2
Source: RefSeq, a predicted model, not a curated record
ACAUACACGAGAGACAUGACUUUAUAAUUUAUAACAGUAAGUUAAUUUUGUGGAUUAAUAGAAAUUGAAUCACAAAAUUCUCAAUGGCUAUAAAUAAGAGACUUAAUUGAGCAAGGAAAUACAAGUAAACAUAUAAUUCACUCUAUAUCUUAAGGCAAAUAAAUUAAACUAUGGCUGGAAAAAAUAUUUCUUUCCUUUUUGCUGCUCUUCUUGUGGCCAUUACAAUUACCUCUCCAACUAUGCAAGUGAUGGCAUUGAGAAACUUACCAGAAAAUGUGGAGGUUGUUGGACUAAAUUAUGUAUUGAUGAUCCCAAACAUUAAUCCAAGGCUCCAAACUUGUCUGAGACCUUGCAGAGUUGAUGCUGAUUGUUCUAAAGAUUGUUGGAUUUGUUGUCAAUGUAAUGGAGUUACUUGCUAUUAAUCGAUCGAUUAUCAUCAUAAUUUCAUAUCUCUUACUUAGAGAAUGAAAUGAAUGUACGUCCGUACGUACGUAUGUACGUGUGAUAUUUCAUAUUAAAACUAUGUUGUUGUUUGUUUUUUCAUGAACAUCAUGUCACUUGUAAGGUACACUACCUACUAGAAUAAGUGACUAAGUUAUCCCGUUGAAUAAGUAUGUACGUACGUAUGUAUUGUGGGUGUAUGUUCUGUAUUGUAUUGUAUGAAUCUAUUUGUGUUUUAUUCCUCCUUUU